AUUAAACGCUGGCGGAAUGCUUUACACAUGCAAGUCGAACGGCAGCACGGACUUCGGUCUGGUGGCGAGUGGCGAACGGGUGAGUAAUGUAUCGGAACGUGCCCAGUCGUGGGGGAUAACGUAGUGAAAAUUACGCUAAUACCGCAUACGAUCUAUGGAUGAAAGCGGGGGAUCGCAAGACCUCGCGCGAUUGGAGCGGCCGAUAUCAGAUUAGGUAGUUGGUGGGGUAAAGGCCCACCAAGCCAACGAUCUGUAGCUGGUCUGAGAGGACGACCAGCCACACUGGAACUGAGACACGGUCCAGACUCCUACGGGAGGCAGCAGUGGGGAAUUUUGGACAAUGGGCGAAAGCCUGAUUCAGCCAUUCCGCGUGCAGGAUGAAGGCCCUCGGGUUGUAAACUACUUUUGUACAGAACGAAAAGGUUUCUACUAAUACUAGGAGCUCAUGACGGUACUGUAAGAAUAAGCACCGGCUAACUACGUGCCAGCCGCCGCCGUAA
RNAcentral lists this ribosomal RNA (500 nucleotides) under uncultured bacterium. Its description in RNAcentral is "partial 16S ribosomal RNA". It matches the Rfam family "Bacterial small subunit ribosomal RNA", at positions 30 to 523 of the family's 1533-position model. The record is from RNAcentral.